CUUUGAGAUGGAGGCCGGCGCUCUGAGCACUGCCAAAAGCUUUGCUCAAUCUAACCAGGGGAGCAGAUGGUCAGGUCCACCACAGGUCGAGGUAACAAGCAGCAACGCAAAACAUUAGACGUCAUUUUGCAAUUUUAAAUUCACGUCGCCUCUUCCCACCUGCAGGAUGUCGGGGUCCAGGAUUCACAGCCAGCAGCAUGUGGAGCGCAUGUGGCAAUAAAGGAUUUGUUUCUGAAAGACACAUGGAAAAAAACAUCAUCAGGUCAUGUCACCAUGUCACUGGGUGUCUCUGCAGUUCUCACCCUGCGUCUGGC
Molecule: long non-coding RNA, 314 nt
Organism: Gasterosteus aculeatus aculeatus (three-spined stickleback)
Lineage: Eukaryota; Metazoa; Chordata; Actinopteri; Perciformes; Gasterosteidae
Source: Ensembl